UCAGAUCAAGUAGACAUCAUUUCUUACAUAACUGAAGAGAACAAAAGGAGGAGGAAAAGGAUAAUCUUGAUGGAACUUUACCUUGAAUCGGUUCUUCUUGGAAUGGCAUACCUUAUUUCACAGAGAGCACCUCGUGGAAUAGGUAGUUUUAGUGAUGGUGAGCACAAAUACACACUUAGGCAGUACUUGUUGAAAGAUAUGUAUGAUGGCUCAGAAGUGGCAUGCUAUGAUCAGCUACAUUUAACCAAAAGAAACUUUCGUGAUUUAUGCACCAUGCCGCGUGAGAGGUGUGGUCUAAGCGGUAGUGUGUAUGUGAUGGAAGAAAAGGUUGCCAUGUUCUUGCUAGUAGUGAGUCACGGUCUGAAAAUGAGGUUGCUUAGAGGCACAUACAAGCGGUCUUUGGGAACUAUAAGUACUCACUUUUAUGCAGUCUUCAGAGCCAUUCUGUCUAUGCAUGGGGAGUUCAUUAAGCUUCCAGACGCUAAUGUUCAAUCUCCCAAUGAUUACAAAUGGAAGUGGUUUGGUGAUGCACUUGGAGCACUAGAUGGUUGUCAUGUAGAUGUUUCAGUUCCUGUGGCUAUCCAAGGGGGUACAUGA
RNAcentral lists this ribosomal RNA (597 nucleotides) under Triticum aestivum (bread wheat). RNAcentral describes it as "partial small subunit ribosomal RNA". Lineage: Eukaryota; Viridiplantae; Streptophyta; Magnoliopsida; Poales; Poaceae. The record is from RNAcentral.